RNAcentral lists this long non-coding RNA (1491 nucleotides) under Pogona vitticeps (central bearded dragon). Its description in RNAcentral is "lncRNA (ENSPVIG00000016766.1)". The record is from RNAcentral. Lineage: Eukaryota; Metazoa; Chordata; Lepidosauria; Squamata; Agamidae.
UUGCCUACUGCUAUUGGCCUUGCUGGUUUUCCAGGUAGGUUGCAGGAAGCAGAUCCUGGAAAGCCAGCAGUGCAGAAUGGUGAGAUCCAAACAGCAAGCAGUCUCUGGUGCCAGUUCAGAGGCCUCCCAGCAUGGCAGUGGGAGGCUUCUGGGUGGUGGUGGCUGAACCCAUUUUUUAACUGUAUUUACCCCAUAAGAUGCACAUACUUUCUCCCCCUCUAUUUGGGGGGGGAGUGAGUCUUAUGGAGCGGGAAAUAAAAAUACGGUACCUGGUUUCGGUAAUAAAGUUCCUGUAUUGUUUUUAGAAAUGUGGUGAAGGUUAAAGUGAAUCGGUUACAAGAUUGCUCUGAAAAGGCCUUUAACCCAGUUCAUCUCACUGGAACAGCACAGAGUUGGCUGCAUUCCAUCACCACUGAGGAGUGCAAGACUUCAUUUCCUCUGCUGUUGUUUGCUUCUUGCUUCUUUUGUUAUUCAAUUGCAUCAGUUGUUAUUUAGUUAUUCAACAACCUCUCUUCCUUCUUCCCUAUCCUUCCUGAAUGAUGAUAGUGCUAGUGUAUUACUGGAAAAACAUUACUACAAAAAUUCCAGGGAAAGUCCAUUUAAAAAAAAAAACAUUUUUGGAGGUAAAAGGCUUUUCACCGGUACAAUAUCUCUGUCACAGGCAAAAAGAACAAAAUCGGGAUCCUUAUUUUCACACAUGAGAAAGAGCAGCCAAAGUGGAACCAAAUUUGGAUUGGGCUCAGAGGACAAGUGGAAUGGAAAAUCCUGAUUCUUCAAGGCAAACUGCCCCCUCCAGAGCUGUGGAUGAGAAAGCAUGCAGGCCCUCCCAUGCUUCUACUUUUAAGGAGAGAAAAAUGCAUUUCCUGAUUCAAUUACAGAUCUGCUACCAUCCAUGUCACUUUGCCCUCAGAGAGUACAUUUGCACUAUUCCAUCUAAAGUGGCUGAAGAUUGAAACCUAAGUUGCCCAUCUUUUUAUCUUUAGCUUUCACAUCUUGUUUGACUUCUUGGUGCACUUGCAUUCCACAGGACUUUUUAUGAUUAAGGGGGUGAUUUAUCACACUUAUACUGUGCUUUGCUCUAGAGUACUCAAAGCAGUAUAGGUAAGGAUUCCAGGCAGCAUACUGAGACCAGUUUCAGCAGAACUACUUAUCAGUAGAACAUUCCUAGAGCUGAUGUGUAAUUAGUUGCUUGAGCAGCAGCCCACAUGCUGAGAUGAUAGAAGUUACAUCUGGGGACUAUAGCUACCAGAAACCCAUAAGCAGCAUGGACACUGCCAUCUUGGUGAUUGACUUCUGGAAACUGUUCCCAAAGUAAAUUUUCCUAGCUCUGUGCACAUCUUAAGUAAGGCAGCUUUGUACUUCUUGUGGCAAAGGAGAAGAUGGGCCCUCUCAGAUGAACAAGUACAGAUACCCACAAUUAUACUCCAAAUUGUAAAAUUUCCCCCAAUUCCUUGAAAUAAAGGAUUGGGAUGCGUGUGAUGGCUGGUAAGG